UACGAAGGGGGCUAGCGUUGUUCGGAAUUACUGGGCGUAAAGCGCGUGUAGGCGGGUCUUUAAGUCAGGGGUGAAAUGCCAAGGCUCAACCUUGGAACUGCCUUUGAUACUGGAGACCUUGAGUCCGGGAGAGGUGAGUGGAAUUGCGAGUGUAGAGGUGAAAUUCGUAGAUAUUCGCAAGAACACCAGUGGCGAAGGCGGCUCACUGGCCCGGAACCGACGCUGAGACGCGAAAGCGUGGGGAGCAAACAGG
Molecule: ribosomal RNA, 253 nt
Filed under: uncultured bacterium
Lineage: Bacteria
Description: partial 16S ribosomal RNA
Rfam family: Bacterial small subunit ribosomal RNA
Source: RNAcentral